Molecule: unclassified non-coding RNA, 1428 nt
Filed under: Thrips palmi
Lineage: Eukaryota; Metazoa; Arthropoda; Insecta; Thysanoptera; Thripidae
Description: popeye domain-containing protein 3-like, transcript variant X1
Source: RNAcentral
ACGGAUGGGUGGCGCGGCGCGCUGCGAUGCUUGCGCUGCUGGGUCGAUAGCACGACUGUGCCCGUCCCGUUCCAGUCCAACCUCAUUAGUUUCUGCAAGUGCUCCCGCGCCAAAAUGUGACAUUGUUGACGUGGAACGCGGCGACCUCUGCACUCCGGCUGCUUUCGGCGCGGAGACUCGAGUCGUUCCGAUCGGCGCGUUGCUGCGCGUUGCCGCUGGCGUCGUGUGAGGUGAAGGCGGUCCGGGCCGCGCCAUGAGGGCCGCGUCUCCCUGAAGCGAGGACACCGCAAACCGAGGAUGCCUUUCGGACUAGGAUGGACCAACGACGACUGGCUGGAGGAGCUGACCGGCAACAUCACUUUCCACAUCCCAGGCGGGGGCACCUGGUGCGACCAAUGGCGGGACCCGCAGAACGUCCUGUACCACGUGGCCAACACGUGCUUCGCCCUGGCCUACGUGGCGCCCACCAACAGCAACGGCGAGCUCUUCAUGCAGGCCGCGCUCAUAGUCGGAUUUAUCUUGUUCUCCGCCUGGUCCUGGGAGUCCAUCUGCGCCCCCGACGCCUUCUCGUGGAACUUCGGCUUCGCGCUGCUGAAUAUGCUGCAACUUUUUCACGCCGUCUACCGCCUCCGGCCCGUCAAGUUUGACCCGGAGUUGGAGGAGGUGUACCGGAACCUGUUCCAGCCCUUCAAGGUGACGAGGAUCCAGUUCAAGAAGCUGGUGAGCGCCGAGUUCGCCCAGAUCAUGUCCCUGCACGCCGGGGAGGCGUACGCCAUGCAGAGCCUGACCAGGACGGACCGCCUCGGUCUGCUGCUGUCGGGGAAGGUGAACGUUAUGUCGGACCAUCAGUUCCUGCACCCCAUCUUGCCCUGCGAGUUCCUCGACUCGCCCGAGUUCGAGUCGAGCCGAGCGAACGUGGACGACAAAUUCAAAGUGUCCAUCAUCGCGGCCACGUCGUGCAGGUACCUGUUUUGGCAGCGGACGGCCCUGGAGUACCUCUUCGUCAAGGAGACGUACCUGGCCACCGUGGUCAGCACCAUCGUGGCCAGGGACAUCACCACCAAGCUGUACUCCAUGAACAGCAAGAUCGUGACGGGCAAGGGUUCCCAUCUGGACAUCCGCUUGCCCGCCGUGACGUCAUCGCUGGGCGCGAAGGCCACCCCCCGCAUCCUGAGGCAGCACCGGCGGGCCAAGCAGAACCCCUCCACCUCGCCGCCCAGCCACAGCACCGCCACGGGUAUUAACCUCUGACGAGCGGCGGCGCCGAUACACUUUUAACAAUAAAUCGGAAAGUCCCGGAAAAUCCGCUGGGCAGCCGCGAGCGCCUCGUGCAGUCGCCGGCCAAGGAGAAGAAGGACAAGGAGGGCAAGGAGAACGGCAGGCCGGAGAAGCAGAUGGGCAACGGGCGCGCGCAGCGGCCCCCCGAGA